Molecule: ribosomal RNA, 253 nt
Filed under: uncultured bacterium
Lineage: Bacteria
Description: partial 16S ribosomal RNA
Rfam family: Bacterial small subunit ribosomal RNA
Source: RNAcentral
UACGUAGGGUGCAAGCGUUGUCCGGAAUUAUUGGGCGUAAAGAGCUCGUAGGCGGUUUGUCGCGUCUGCUGUGAAAACUCGGGGCUUAACCCCGGGCCUGCAGUGGGUACGGGCAGACUAGAGUGCGGUAGGGGAGACUGGAAUUCCUGGUGUAGCGGUGGAAUGCGCAGAUAUCAGGAGGAACACCGGUGGCGAAGGCGGGUCUCUGGGCCGAUAUUGACGCUGAGGAGCGAAAGCGUGGGGAGCGAACAGG